UACGGAGGGGGCGAGCGUUAUUCGGAAUUAUUGGGCGUAAAGGGCGCGUAGGCGGCCCGGUAAGUCAAAGGUGAAAUCCCUCGGCUCAACUGAGGAACUGCCUUUGAAACUGUCGGGCUUGAGGCCGGGAGGGGGUAGCGGAAUUCCCAGUGUAGCGGUGAAAUGCGUAGAUAUUGGGAGGAACACCGGUGGCGAAGGCGGCUACCUGGACCGGUUCUGACGCUGAUGCGCGAAAGCCAGGGGAGCAAACGGG
Molecule: ribosomal RNA, 253 nt
Filed under: uncultured bacterium
Lineage: Bacteria
Description: partial 16S ribosomal RNA
Rfam family: Bacterial small subunit ribosomal RNA
Source: RNAcentral